RNAcentral lists this ribosomal RNA (484 nucleotides) under uncultured bacterium. RNAcentral's name for it is "partial 16S ribosomal RNA". It matches the Rfam family "Bacterial small subunit ribosomal RNA", at positions 30 to 507 of the family's 1533-position model. The record is from RNAcentral.
AUUGAACGCUGGCGGCAGGCCUAACACAUGCAAGUCGAGCGGAUGAAGGGAGCUUGCUCCUGGAUUCAGCGGCGGACGGGUGAGUAAUGCCUAGGAAUCUGCCUGGUAGUGGGGGAUAACGUCCGGAAACGGGCGCUAAUACCGCAUACGUCCUGAUGGAGAAAGUGGGGGAUCUUCGGACCUCACGCUCUCAGAUGAGCCUAGGUCGGAUUAGCUAGUUGGUGGGGUAAAGGCCUACCAAGGCGACGAUCCGUAACUGGUCUGAGAGGAUGAUCAGUCACACUGGAACUGAGACACGGUCCAGACUCCUACGGGAGGCAGCAGUGGGGAAUAUUGGACAAUGGGCGAAAGCCUGAUCCAGCCAUGCCGCGUGUGUGAAGAAGGUCUUCGGAUUGUAAAGCACUUUAAGUGGGGAGGAAGGGCAGUAAGUUAAUACCUUGCUGUUUUGACGUUACCAACAGAAUAAGCACCGGCUAACUUCGUG